GUUCCCUAUGAUGCUUCAGAUUAAACCAUGCUAAUUCUGAUAACUACAUGAUCGGAUCUUUCUUUAUUUAUUUGCUGAGGGAAUU
This is a small nucleolar RNA of Juglans microcarpa x Juglans regia, 85 nucleotides long. RefSeq annotates it as small nucleolar RNA snoR53Y. The record is from RefSeq and is a predicted model, not a curated record. The transcript has a single exon. NCBI's taxonomy places the organism in Eukaryota, Viridiplantae, Streptophyta, Magnoliopsida, Fagales, Juglandaceae.